GAUGAACGCUAGCUACAGGCUUAACACAUGCAAGUCGAGGGGCAGCAUGGUCUUAGCUUGCUAAGGCCGAUGGCGACCGGCGCACGGGUGAGUAACACGUAUCCAACCUGCCGUCUACUCUUGGACAGCCUUCUGAAAGGAAGAUUAAUACAAGAUGGCAUCAUGAGUCCGCAUGUUCACAUGAUUAAAGGUAUUCCGGUAGACGAUGGGGAUGCGUUCCAUUAGAUAGUAGGCGGGGUAACGGCCCACCUAGUCUUCGAUGGAUAGGGGUUCUGAGAGGAAGGUCCCCCACAUUGGAACUGAGACACGGUCCAAACUCCUACGGGAGGCAGCAGUGAGGAAUAUUGGUCAAUGGGCGAGAGCCUGAACCAGCCAAGUAGCGUGAAGGAUGACUGCCCUAUGGGUUGUAAACUUCUUUUAUAAAGGAAUAAAGUCGGGUAUGGAUACCCGUUUGCAUGUACUUUAUGAAUAAGGAUCGGCUAACUCCGUGCCAGCAGCCGCGGUAAUACGGAGGAUCCGAGCGUUAUCCGGAUUUAUUGGGUUUAAAGGGAGCGUAGAUGGAUGUUUAAGUCAGUUGUGAAAGUUUGCGGCUCAACCGUAAAAUUGCAGUUGAUACUGGAUAUCUUGAGUGCAGUUGAGGCAGGCGGAAUUCGUGGUGUAGCGGUGAAAUGCUUAGAUAUCACGAAGAACUCCGAUUGCGAAGGCAGCCUGCUAAGCUGCAACUGACAUUGAGGCUCGAAAGUGUGGGUAUCAAACAGGAUUAGAUACCCUGGUAGUCCACACGGUAAACGAUGAAUACUCGCUGUUUGCGAUAUACUGCAAGCGGCCAAGCGAAAGCGUUAAGUAUUCCACCUGGGGAGUACGCCGGCAACGGUGAAACUCAAAGGAAUUGACGGGGGCCCGCACAAGCGGAGGAACAUGUGGUUUAAUUCGAUGAUACGCGAGGAACCUUACCCGGGCUUAAAUUGCAGAUGAAUUACGGUGAAAGCCGUAAGCCGCAAGGCAUCUGUGAAGGUGCUGCAUGGUUGUCGUCAGCUCGUGCCGUGAGGUGUCGGCUUAAGUGCCAUAACGAGCGCAACCCUUGUUGUCAGUUACUAACAGGUUCCGCUGAGGACUCUGACAAGACUGCCAUCGUAAGAUGUGAGGAAGGUGGAGAUGACGUCAAAUCAGCACGGCCCUUACGUCCGGGGCUACACACGUGUUACAAUGGGGGGUACAGAGGGCCGCUACCACGCGAGUGGAUGCCAAUCCCCAAAACCUCUCUCAGUUCGGACUGGAGUCUGCAACCCGACUCCACGAAGCUGGAUUCGCUAGUAAUCGCGCAUUCAGCCACGGCGCGGUAAAUACGUUUCCCGGGCCC
This 1360-nucleotide ribosomal RNA is filed under the name uncultured bacterium. Its description in RNAcentral is "bacterial SSU rRNA". It matches the Rfam family "Bacterial small subunit ribosomal RNA", at positions 28 to 1381 of the family's 1533-position model. The record is from RNAcentral.